Molecule: long non-coding RNA, 561 nt
Organism: Xenopus tropicalis (tropical clawed frog)
Lineage: Eukaryota; Metazoa; Chordata; Amphibia; Anura; Pipidae
Exons: 2
Source: RefSeq, a predicted model, not a curated record
AACCUGUCAAGCCAAACAGAGGCAGAGAGCACCACCUCAAUUCAAUAGAAUAAAUAUUUCCUGUAGAAAGACAGGACUGUGUUUUCACAUCAGUGAACCUACUUUAACCCACCAGCUGCCAAGACAGGUUUUGCAUGCAUGUGUUGUACCUUCAGCUGUGUUAUUUGUUGUUCCAGCAGCAUCUCUGACUGACACUUCAGCAGCUCAAUUUCCUCUUGAAUCUGCAGUUGCUGUUCUGCCUUCAACUGCAGUUCGGCAGACAAGGCCUGGCGUUCACUAGUCAGUUCUGUAGUUAGAAUCUAAUUGCAGAAAUUGUGCAAUAUGAGUGAGGAUAAACAAUGCAUUUUGUCUUUCUUUUCAAAUUCGCUUUACUGAAUUUGUGAGAUAUUCCAUCAGAGUAUUUGACAAUGGAUUUAAACAACAAGAAUCAGAAAAAGUAGUUUAAACAAUUUAGAAUAACAAAUUGUGUGAAACCAACAGGUGACCUGUUUUACUUAUUUCAUCUUUAUGCUCAACUAGAACAUGUUAAUGACACAGUAUCAAUAAAAGUAUUGGAGAUUU